GAUGAACGCUGGCGGCGUGCCUAAUACAUGCAAGUCGAGCGAACGGACGAGAAGCUUGCUUCUCUGAUGUUAGCGGCGGACGGGUGAGUAACACGUGGAUAACCUACCUAUAAGACUGGGAUAACUUCGGGAAACCGGAGCUAAUACCGGAUGAUAUUUUGAACCGCAUGGUUCAAAAGUGAAAGACGGUCUUGCUGUCACUUAUAGAUGGAUCCGCGCUGCAUUAGCUAGUUGGUAAGGUAACGGCUUACCAAGGCAACGAUGCAUAGCCGACCUGAGAGGGUGAUCGGCCACACUGGAACUGAGACACGGUCCAGACUCCUACGGGAGGCAGCAGUAGGGAAUCUUCCGCAAUGGGCGAAAGCCUGACGGAGCAACGCCGCGUGAGUGAUGAAGGUCUUCGGAUCGUAAAACUCUGUUAUUAGGGAAGAACAUAUGUGUAAGUAACUGUGCACAUCUUGACGGUACCUAAUCAGAAAGCCACGGCUAACUACGUGCCAGCAGCCGCGGUAAUACGCAGGUGGCAAGCGUUAUCCGGAAUUAUUGGGCGUAAAGCGCGCGUAGGCGGUUUUUUAAGUCUGAUGUGAAAGCCCACGGCUCAACCGUGGAGGGUCAUUGGAAACUGGAAAACUUGAGUGCAGAAGAGGAAAGUGGAAUUCCAUGUGUAGCGGUGAAAUGCGCAGAGAUAUGGAGGAACACCAGUGGCGAAGGCGACUUUCUGGUCUGUAACUGACGCUGAUGUGCGAAAGCGUGGGGAUCAAACAGGAUUAGAUACCCUGGUAGUCCACGCCGUAAACGAUGAGUGCUAAGUGUUAGGGGGGUUUCCGCCCCUUAGUGCUGCAGCUAACGCAUUAAGCACUCCGCCUGGGGAGUACGACCGCAAGGGUGAAACUCAAAGGAAUUGACGGGGACCCGCACAAGCGGUGGAGCAUGUGGUUUAAUUGGAAGCAACGCGAAGAACCUUACCAAAUCUUGACAUCCUUUGACAACUCUAGAGAUAGAGCCUUCCCCUUCGGGGGACAAAGUGACAGGUGGUGCAUGGUUGUCGUCAGCUCGUGUCGUGAGAUGUUGGGUUAAGUCCCGCAACGAGCGCAACCCUUAAGCUUAGUUGCCAUCAUUAAGUUGGGCACUCUAAGUUGACUGCCGGUGACAAACCGGAGGAAGGUGGGGAUGACGUCAAAUCAUCAUGCCCCUUAUGAUUUGGGCUACACACGUGCUACAAUGGACAAUACAAAGGGCAGCGAAACCGCGAGGUCAAGCAAAUCCCAUAAAGUUGUUCUCAGUUCGGAUUGUAGUCUGCAACUCGACUACAUGAAGCUGGAAUCGCUAGUAAUCGUAGAUCAGCAUGCUACGGUGAAUACGUUCCCGGGUCU
Molecule: ribosomal RNA, 1373 nt
Filed under: uncultured bacterium
Lineage: Bacteria
Description: bacterial SSU rRNA
Rfam family: Bacterial small subunit ribosomal RNA
Source: RNAcentral